AAAUUAUCCUCAUAAGUUAGACGAAAAGAGGUACCAUUUAUAAAUUAAAUUCUUAAGACCUUCUAUCGAACUCAAUCUUUGUUUUUGAUGGAGGUCUAAAUUUAUAGAUAAAUGGUGGCACAGAAUCGGAGGCCCCGACUGUUUACUAAAAACACAACACAGUGCAAUCAUUAAUAUGGUAGUAUACUGUGUGAAAUUUGCCCAAUGCCAUUAAUAUAAAAGCGGUCAUGGGAAACUGUGACUAAUUGAAAAUCUGGUUAAUAGCGGUCUUAACCAUGAGGAUCCUAAGGUAGCAAAAUAAAUUGGCCAUUAAAUGUGGUCCGGUAUCAAUAAUGUAACGAUGGCCUCACUGUCUCUACAACUUGCUCAGUGAAAUUGAAUUACGCGUGCAGAUGCGCGUUACCUCCAGGGGGACGGGAAGACCCUAUGCACUUUCU
This 437-nucleotide ribosomal RNA is filed under the name Amanita inopinata. Its description in RNAcentral is "LSU rRNA". It matches the Rfam family "Bacterial large subunit ribosomal RNA", at positions 1719 to 2103 of the family's 2925-position model. Lineage: Eukaryota; Fungi; Basidiomycota; Agaricomycetes; Agaricales; Amanitaceae. The record is from RNAcentral.